This is a long non-coding RNA of Salvelinus fontinalis (brook trout), 880 nucleotides long. RefSeq lists it as uncharacterized. NCBI's taxonomy places the organism in Eukaryota, Metazoa, Chordata, Actinopteri, Salmoniformes, Salmonidae. The record is from RefSeq and is a predicted model, not a curated record. The transcript has 4 exons.
UUAUAUCAGCGAGAAAGAAUCUUUCAAAUAAAAAAUAUACACUUACUUUAGCAGCGUUGCACGUGUCCAUACUGUUGGUGCCUCCAGUUGACGAACUACACUUCCUCCCCAGUUAGCUGACACACAGGUGUUUGGCGCGCAUUAGAUUGCUAAUUAGCACAGGUGGCUGCCUAUGUCUUCUUCUUUUCCGUAAACAAGCGCUGUAACAUCAAGAUAUGGCUGUGGGAACACUAACUAUUAAGUAAAUAGCCUCCAAGCAAGAACAUUUGGUAUCUGGACAUUGUUGUCGUCAAUUAUCCGCUGCACAUUCAGAACAAAACCCUCUAUCACAUCACCCUGUGGACACUUCCUGUCUGAAGCCUUCAUCUACAAAACGGCACCUCUGACCAUUGGCAUUAUGGCACCUCUCAUUGUGGCGAAGCCUCAGGAGGAGGUGGCUGUACGUCAUAAGAAGCAGAACUGAUUCAAAGCUGCAGAAAACUUUUGUUAUACAUUGUGCCAUUUUGCCCAGCAAUAGAGAGAGCUAUGGGAUAGUAUACUUCUUCUCUUGAAUAAUGAGUGGCCUAUUUACUAUACUGUAUGUACACAAAGACAAGUCCAAUAGCUUUAAACUUUUAAGAGGGGGUAUACAAUAACUGGAGUUUAUUUUGCAGGUCAUUUGUACCUGUCCUAUGUGAUUUGUACCUGUGCUAGAAUAUACUAGUUUGGCUACAGCUGUUUCACUCUUGCAUGGUCAAUUGAACAGGGAUUGUCGAUCAAUGUUUCAUCAUGUACAGUAAUUUACAUAAAUGUACAGUGAUGAUUUUAUGUAUAUUAAUAAUGGUUUGAUUAAUGUGUGGUAGGGUUGACUGGUUUUGGAAUUAUUUUAUGUAAAUGAACA